CUUCCUUCUCUCUCUCUCUCUCGAAUAAAAUCUGAGGUUAAAAGAUCGGUGCUUGAAUCAUCUCACAUCAUCGGGUGAUUCUGAAAUCUCGCUUUCCUCUGAUCAUCGUCUUCCUCGUCAUCUGAUCUCUUACUUCGUUCCGCAAGCUAGACGAUGGCCUCUGAGACCGGAGAAAUCACCAUCGUAUGCAACCACUGUGACAGAGACAUUCCAGCUCCAAAUAUCGAUCUGCAUCGUGUACAUUGUGCCCGGAAUCUAGAAAAAUGCAAGAUUUGUGGUGAUAUGGUUCCUAAAAAGCAUGCUGAGGAACACUUCUUGAACACACAUGCUCCGGUGCCAUGCUCGAUGUGCAAAGAAACCAUAGACCGUGAGGUUUUUAAUAGUCAUACAGAAGAAAUCUGCCCUAAGAGGAUGGUAACGUGCGAGUUCUGUGAGUUUCCAUUGCCUGCAGUUGAUCUUGCCGAGCAUCAGGAAGUAUGUGGCAACCGCACGCAACUCUGUUACCAAUGCAACAGUUAUGUUAGAUUGCGUGAAACAUAUAACCACGAAACCAAGUGCCCUGGUUCUGUGCUCAACAAUGUUGAAUCAUCCAGAAGGAUCCCAAGAGCAGCAGAAGGAGAUGGAAACGGCAGGAGGAGAAGAGAUAAUGGUGUUUCUAACAAAAGGCUGUUCUUCACGAUAGCUAUAACGGGAAUAGCUGUCUUAAUAGGAUCGCUCUUCUUCCAGAGGAAGCCUGAGGGGAGCUAAGCAGAGAGAGAGAGACAUAGCUCGUGUGUACUUCUGUAAAUCUGCUCAAACUCCACAUUUGAAAUGCUUACUGAGACAGAGGUGUUCUUCCCUAAAGAUUGUUUAAGUUGAUUUACCAUGAGACUUUCUUUUAUAUUUGGUUUCAAUAAAAAGAGUUUUCAGGAACAAAAAAACUCAAGAAGACUUCUGCCAUAUGAGUAAUCGGUUUGGUUUCUAAACCCGGUCCAAUUCCGGUCUGAAGAAAUUGAACCGGAAGUAUAA
RNA transcript from Brassica oleracea var. oleracea, 1008 nucleotides. It is a transcript of the gene named TRAF-type zinc finger domain-containing protein 1, with no coding region annotated. NCBI's taxonomy places the organism in Eukaryota, Viridiplantae, Streptophyta, Magnoliopsida, Brassicales, Brassicaceae. The transcript has 6 exons. The record is from RefSeq and is a predicted model, not a curated record.